Molecule: ribosomal RNA, 213 nt
Filed under: uncultured Staphylococcus sp.
Lineage: Bacteria; Bacillati; Bacillota; Bacilli; Caryophanales; Staphylococcaceae
Description: partial 16S ribosomal RNA
Rfam family: Bacterial small subunit ribosomal RNA
Source: RNAcentral
ACACUAUAAGACUGGGAUAACUUCGGGAAACCGGAGCUAAUACCGGAUAAUAUUUUGAACCGCAUGGUUCAAAAGUGAAAGACGGUCUUGCUGUCACUUAUAGAUGGAUCCGCGCUGCAUUAGCUAGUUGGUAAGGUAACGGCUUACCAAGGCAACGAUGCAUAGCCGACCUGAGAGGGUGAUCGGCCACACUGGAACUGAGACACGGUCCAG